UGCAACAGCAUUAGUGAGUUUGAUGAUAAAGCAACUUUGACAUAUGUGCAGUUAAUUGUUGAGAAUGUUUGAUUAAUAAUUAUGAAAUGAAGAUUUAACUAAUUUGAUGAUUCCAUAUUAACUAUCAAUUUGUGUAUGAAAAUUAAUAAAACUAAUACAAAAUUGGAUGUUGUUUUUGAAUAUGCUUUCAUAAAUUGAAUUGUAAACCUUAUUUGAUGACUUCCAUUACAAUCCCUAUAAUGGGUGCAUGCUAGUUCUGACUAAUGAGGAUUGAGGUAUGAUAUAACUUUCUCAAAUCAACUGAAUUAGUCAGAAAUAUGAAGAACCAACAAAAAAGAAUUAUCAUCAAUGAUGUUGAAAGAGAUGAAAAGAAAGAGAGAGAACUCAUAGUGUGUCCAUUGAAUAUUUGCCUGCUGAUGAAAAAGUUCAUAAUUUUUCAUUAUGGUUGCCAAAAUUCUUGCCUGUCUGUGAUAGUUACAAGAAAAAAGGAAGAUUUCUGUCUUAAGUAUAUCUAUGAGUUUUUAUUAAAUUAAUCUAUUGUCCUCAUAAUGUUAGAGUUAGAUUUAUUGUUUAAGAUUUUUGGUUUUGAC
Molecule: long non-coding RNA, 590 nt
Filed under: Androctonus crassicauda
Lineage: Eukaryota; Metazoa; Arthropoda; Arachnida; Scorpiones; Buthidae
Source: RNAcentral